This 253-nucleotide ribosomal RNA is filed under the name uncultured bacterium. RNAcentral's name for it is "partial 16S ribosomal RNA". It matches the Rfam family "Bacterial small subunit ribosomal RNA", at positions 524 to 776 of the family's 1533-position model. The record is from RNAcentral.
UACGGAGGGUGCAAGCGUUGUCCGGAUUUAUUGGGUUUAAAGGGUGCGUAGGUGGCUCCAUAAGUCAGCGUUGAAAUACGGCAGCUUAACUGUCGGACUGGCAUUGAUACUGUGGAGCUUGAGUAAAGUUGAGGUAGGCGGAAUUGAUGGUGUAGCGGUGAAAUGCUUAGAUAUCAUCAAGAACAUCGAUUGCGAAGGCAGCUUACUAAGCUUUAACUGACACUGAGACGCGAAGGCGUGGGGAGCGAACGGG